RNAcentral lists this long non-coding RNA (447 nucleotides) under Citrus sinensis (sweet orange). RNAcentral's name for it is "long non-coding RNA (CSIN_LNC001434)". The record is from RNAcentral. Lineage: Eukaryota; Viridiplantae; Streptophyta; Magnoliopsida; Sapindales; Rutaceae.
AGCAACAAUGUCCCAAAUCUUUUUGGUGGAAAAAAAGCAGCGGCAACAUCUAUCAUCUCUGAAAACAUUCAUCUGCUAGCCACUUGUUUUGGGAUUAAUCUAGGGAGUGGACAAAGAACAUCAACUAACAAGCUAGCAGUCUAUCAAUAUCCAUUUUAGUUAUUCAUCUGCUGCGCUAAUAUACACAUUACAAGAGCAGAAGAACUCAAUGUCCAUAAUUAUUAUCCAAUGGCUUCAAAUUUGCUAAUAACCAUUACUUAAAUGCAAAAGAUGACAGCCAAACUACUUGCCAAAUAUGAGUCCACUUGAUGCUACCUAAAUAUAAUAAACAAUGAACUUACUUUUGAUUCCAUAACAUCUCCAUAUUUCUGUAGCUCUUUUGCAACAGCAUUCAAACGAGAAUGGAGCUCAGACUUCAAUCCUGGAAGGACCAUUCUGAUAUGCUGC